RNAcentral lists this transfer RNA (73 nucleotides) under Pseudomonadota bacterium. Its description in RNAcentral is "tRNA-Gly". It matches the Rfam family "tRNA". Rfam says of the family: Transfer RNA (tRNA) molecules are approximately 80 nucleotides in length. RNAcentral also lists the same sequence under 1 other name. The record is from RNAcentral. Lineage: Bacteria; Pseudomonadati; Pseudomonadota.
GCGGGCGUAGCUCAGUUGGUAGAGCAUCAGCUUCCCAAGCUGAGGGUCGCGGGUUCGACUCCCGUCGCCCGCU